AUUCACAAGAAACAAGGGGGGGGAUGGAGAUGUUCGAUUUCAAAGAAAACGCAUGCACAGGAACCAAGGAAAUUGGCCUUGUCUCCGUAAUCAAUUGCUUGUAU
Molecule: non-coding RNA, 104 nt
Filed under: Pseudopedinella elastica
Lineage: Eukaryota; Dictyochophyceae; Pedinellales
Source: RNAcentral